AGGGGCAGCACAGGUAGCAAUACCGGGUGGCGACCGGCGCACGGGUGAGUAACGCGUAUGCAACUUACCUAUCAGAGGGGGAUAACCCGGCGAAAGCCGGACUAAUACCGCGUGAAGCAGGGGCCCCGCAUGGGGAUAUUUGCUAAAGAUUCAUCGCUGAUAGAUAGGCAUGCGUUCCAUUAGGCAGUUGGCGGGGUAACGGCCCACCAAGCCGACGAUGGAUAGGGGUUCUGAGAGGAAGGUCCCCCACAUUGGUACUGAGACACGGACCAAACUCCUACGGGAGGCAGCAGUGAGGAAUAUUGGUCAAUGGGCGUAAGCCUGAACCAGCCAAGUCGCGUGAGGGAUGAAGGUUCUAUGGAUCGUAAACCUCUUUUAUAAGGGAAUAAAGUGCGGGACGUGUCCCGUUUUGUAUGUACCUUAUGAAUAAGGAUCGGCUAACUCCGUGCCAGCAGCCGCGGUAAUACGGAGGAUCCGAGCGUUAUCCGGAUUUAUUGGGUUUAAAGGGUGCGUAGGCGGCCUUUUAAGUCAGCGGUGAAAGUCUGUGGCUCAACCAUAGAAUUGCCGUUGAAACUGGGAGGCUUGAGUAUGUUUGAGGCAGGCGGAAUGCGUGGUGUAGCGGUGAAAUGCAUAGAUAUCACGCAGAACCCCGAUUGCGAAGGCAGCCUGCCAAGCCAUGACUGACGCUGAUGCACGAAAGCGUGGGGAUCAAACAGGAUUAGAUACCCUGGUAGUCCACGCAGUAAACGAUGAUCACUAGCUGUUUGCGAUACAGUGUAAGCGGCACAGCGAAAGCGUUAAGUGAUCCACCUGGGGAGUACGCCGGCAACGGUGAAACUCAAAGGAAUUGACGGGGGCCCGCACAAGCGGAGGAACAUGUGGUUUAAUUCGAUGAUACGCGAGGAACCUUACCCGGGUUUGAACGCAUUUCGACCGCUCUGGAAACAGAGCCUCUAGCGAUAGCGAUUUGCGAGGUGCUGCAUGGUUGUCGUCAGCUCGUGCCGUGAGGUGUCGGCUUAAGUGCCAUAACGAGCGCAACCCUUGCCACUAGUUACUAACAGGUGAUGCUGAGGACUC
This 1077-nucleotide ribosomal RNA is filed under the name uncultured bacterium. RNAcentral's name for it is "bacterial SSU rRNA". It matches the Rfam family "Bacterial small subunit ribosomal RNA", at positions 65 to 1140 of the family's 1533-position model. The record is from RNAcentral.